AAUGAAGAAUACCACCACAUUAUAUUAAUACCAUGUAUUGAUAUUAAGGUGUGACUUAAAUCUAGUUUGAAGUUGAGGGACAUUUUAAAUAGAACAUAAUGAGGCUUCGGUGUACAAGUUUAGUCUCUCACUCCCUUGUAGUUGCAGUUACAGUACUGGGUGUCACUGUGCAGUAGGUUACAACCCCACAGUUGUACAGGAAGAGAAAACACCCCUAUUACACUCGACAUUACACCCCUGCAUGCUGUAGGGACUCCUCGGCUCCCUCUCCGUGUCCCCUGGAGGUCCCCGAGCCCGAGUUUCAGAUCAUCCAGUAGGUCAUAUGAGGGGAAGAGGAGCGCUUUGUGGUUUGCGCUGAAGAAAAAGAGGGAGGAGGAGGAGGAGGAGGAGGAGAGCAACGGAGGGAGCAGGUCUGCUUGGGCGGGGUUUCCCUCUUAUUUCAAGGCACAGAAGAGGAGCGAAGCGGGGAGAGUACGGACCCGCUCCAGCUGCUGCAUGGGAAUGUCGCCGUAGUCGAGGCUGGUUGCGUUUUCGCUAGCUUUACGAUAUUCUUCCAGUCUCUCUUUUCUUUUCUAACAUCCUCGUUUUCCCCGUCCUUCUCUCGCAUUGUGACCACGUACUGGCUGAGGUAGUAGUUUGUGCUGUUGGUUGGGUUGUGACACUGCCCGCUAUGGAGAUGACUGCGCAAGCUACUGCCUUGCCAGUGCUGGUGCCUUCACUUCCAGCCGAGGGAAGGAAAAGAAAAAAAAGCCGCCCCUGCUCUUCAACGCUGUUAUACGGUUUUUACAGGAUGGAGGAGGAAGCUUGUAUGUGUUGGAUGGAAAUCCGAUAUGCAAGUUUUUAAAUAAUUUGUAUGCACAUUUUUAAAAUGCACGAGGAAGUCGAUAUCUGCUAUGGAUUUGCAUAGUUUUCCACCACCUCAGGCGGAGUGGGCUGUGCAGAAAGCAUGUAGGUCAACAGUACUGUUGCUAUGAGGAGAGAGGAGUGACGUGGCUACUGCUGCCCACAGAGGUAUCCUACAAUACAUCUGCUCUGAUACACACAAGCUGGCUUUAUGGUCCUCCCCGACGUCUUUUGUUGUUAAUCUUGCAUACCGUCAGACACUGGGGCAGAAAGGGUGUGCUCCUCCUGCACCCAAACACCCCAUCUCUGCAGGGCAGUCAUAAAAUCUGUGCAGUGCUGCUGGCACUGUUCACCAAAUAAUCUGAUUAUUAUGCUAAAUCUGGAUGUGUGUGUGUGUGUGCCUCAGUGCUUGAACUCUGCACAGACAGACAGCACAUGACCUAACCCCCACCCUCCACAGGCGUUUCAGCAGUGGUGUCCUCACUGAAGUCUGGGAGCGCAGCCCUGAUGUGGGUCGUGCGUUGUGAGUUAACCUUUUGAAAUCCUCCCUCUGCUGCUGCCUGACAGCAUCUGGUUGCUCUGUAUCACAUUAGUAUGGGCAGUCAGGGGUCUCGUGAUGGGGGAGGGGACCGGAAUGGGUAAUGAGCUUUGAUUGGCUGCAAGGGCCAGGCAGCCCGGGUCGAUGAAACCCAUGCAGGGUUUUCCAGUCUUGUGUUCUCAGACCCCCACUGCCCUGAUGAUGAUAGCACGCCGCUCACUCAAUGACUGACUGACUGAAGAUUGAAUCCUGCGUUUGACCUUCCAAGAAGACUCAUGAAAUAUUUAUGAGUUCACACUUGAUAGUGUGUUAGGCAGAGUUAUGUUCAUCUUGGGCCACAGCUCUUCCCACUAGCAUCUGUCUUGGUAUUAAAACAAUAAAUUCUACUCCAGCUCGUCAUUGUAGAUAGACGUAGGUUGAAAAGGGGUGCUUUUCCUUUUGAAAAGAAGAAGCGAACUAGUAAACAACACAGGAGACUUGUUAUUGUGAAGCCUGUUGAGUAGCAGCCCUACAGGUCUGCAUUAGAUAUUUUCAAACAACUGUCUGUCUCAUGUAAGAAAUACAAGUUAUCCAGCCUCCGGGGUAAAACCAAACAUCAUUUAUCAUAUCCUGGCUGUAAAGAGAGCCAGCCUAUGGAUCAGUGAGCAGUGCAGAGGCAGCCCAUGUCCUUCUCAUCCAUCUUGUGUCAAAGCUCUCAUUUGUGCCGGGCCGCAGAUAAAUUAUACUUCAGGCAGCCAAAGCCCUAAAGCAGUAAAUUAGAGCCCCCCUGUGGAAAAUCGGCUUGCUCAGAUGGGUAUCACAGCUGCACCGUUGAAGCAGCCGCACCCUUGUCCUGACAGGACAGUCAACCCUUUUGUGUACUCUGUUUUCUCCAGAUACCUUCACACGUGCUGCCUCUGUAACGCAUCAUGUUUGGAAUUAGUUCUGAAAUAAAUUAGUUGAUGAAUUGGGGAGUUGAUCGUGAUAAAAUUAUUUGCCAACAUUUUUGACGGUUUGUCAAACAAAAUGCCAAAAAAGUGUGAUUCUCUUUGGGUUUUGGACUUUUGGUUGGACAAAAGAAGCAACCUGAUCAUGUCAUCCUGGGCUCUGAAGAAUUGUGAUGGUCAGUUUCACAAUUUUUUGAUAUUGUAUGUAAUAAAUGAUUAAUCAAUUUGAAAUCAACAGAAUAAUCGCCAGCAAGAAGAGCUUAAACAAUUGCUCGGUUGCCAGGAAAUGAUUUGGCAACUAUUUUGAUAAUUGAUUCCUCGUUCAAGUCGUUUUUCAAGAAAAAGUGCCAAACAUGAUGCUUCCAGCCUCUCAAAUGUGAAGAUUUGCUGCUUUUUUCUAGUCUAGACAUUAUAGUAAACUGAAUAUCUUUAGGUUUUGAACUGCUAGUCAGGCAAAAAAACAAUUAUUUAGAAAAUAAAAAACAAAAAUCAUUGAUAAGAAAUUAAUUAGUUGGUAGUUGGUUUGUUGCAGGUCAAAAAUAAUAUUAAAAAAAAAUAGUAUCUUUUCACUUAAUCCUCUCCUGAAAGGAAGCUUGAAGGCGGUGGCCCCAGCAGCGCGUCACCUUUCCAGUACAAGAGAUGAGUAUUUCACUGCAAGCCCACUCAGCAUCUCCCUCUGAUCUGUCCACGGGUGGGGUGGGAGUGCUGCAACCUUGGAAAAACAAGCCACCCACAGGAAUGACUGUGUCAUCAUUGCCGUCAUCCAAUCUGGACCACACACACACACACACACACACGUGUGGAGAGUAGGAGUGGAGUGCCAGAUCAGUUCUGGCCUGACUGGAGGAGGAUGCGGCGCUGGCCUGUGGGGACCAGAUGGCCCUCCAGCUCCUGCAGAGGACCCAGGAGUGUGAGACUCCCACUAUAGCACAUUAUGAUCGUCUUGAGUGUGUGUAAAGGCAUUCAUAAAGAUAUGUGUGUGUGUGUGGUGCUCAUAUUUUAAGGUGUGGGUAUGAUAAGAGGAAUUGAACUAAACCUGAAAGUGAGUUAUAAAAGUUACUAUUGUUAAAGACGUGUGUGUUGUCCAGAAACCUUUCCUGGCUUUGUGCUCUGUUAUCAAUCAGAGCAUUUAUUCCCCAUCCUUUGUCUCUUGUUUACUUUCUUUACUUUUAGCUUUAUUUCAGACAUAAAAAAGUCAAAAUUCUGCUUAAAAAAAGAAAAUAAAUGGAAAAUAGGAAAUAAAAGAAAAAGAUACUUGCUAAAAUAAAGAGAUAAAAGUAAGGUAGAAAUCUUACAUCAACCAACAGAGACAUGACAUUUCAGUCAAAAUUAUCUGUGCAUAUUAAGUCAUAGCACAGAGUUACAAAAUGGUUCGUAAGGAAUAAAAGAAAUCAAAGGAUACCCUGUAUAGGCCCUUUUCACGGGAGACAUUUUGACAUGUCUGAGUAGGAAUAGCGCAGGAGUUAAUGGUGAAAUUCAUGAUGGCUGAAUUCCAUUUAGCUACCUCAGUUUCAGAUCCCUGCUGUUGUGCAGGCUGAAUCACUGUCAAACCAUCAUGACUUUCUUAUUUUAACCUGCUAUUGCUACAAUCCCAUCUACUAUGAACUAAUUUACUAGCUAACCAUUUUUUGCAAAUGUAUAGAACUUGAAAGUAUCUGAUAGUGUUGGACACAUCACUGUCCCUGGCUGAUUGUAAUAAUAGAAUUUUACUCGAUGUGUUUCAGGUUUGGCCCUCUGUAAAACUGUUAGUAGCAUGAGUUUCACAUUUUUAGUGUCACAUUGUCUCAAAUCAUUAUGAGGCUAUUUUGAUCCAUUUCUAAAUAAAACGCUGGCGAUUAUCAAAACUAAGCUCAGCGAUGCUGGCUUUCUGAAAGGGCAUUAGAAGCUGAUUCACACCAAAAUUGUAAGCGCAAGGAUGUGUUUAAUGUAAGUUCUCUGAUACCAAAAAGCGUCCUUUCACUGCUCCACAAUCCAUCUCUCACUAUGGAAUGCAUAUUAUUUCAUAUGAUACCUCUGUCAUGUCAUGAACUGUGAAAGCUUCAGUCCUGUGGUUUGAUUUCUAUCUUCGCUCUUUCAAGUAUUUGAUAUCACAGCAGUUUCACCUAAGACUGAGGAGGUUAUUCCUCACUGUACCACACCCACUCUCACUGUAUUAAAGUGAAAGGAGAAUUGAAA
Long non-coding RNA from Dicentrarchus labrax (European seabass), 4482 nucleotides. RefSeq lists it as uncharacterized. The transcript has 2 exons. The record is from RefSeq and is a predicted model, not a curated record. NCBI's taxonomy places the organism in Eukaryota, Metazoa, Chordata, Actinopteri, Moronidae.